CUUUCAGUGGUUCUAAAGAAUGAAGUGGCUGAUCUGCUAACAAGAAUGGGCCUCAUAAGAUGAGAUGCUAUGUCAGAAGACUGGAAGCUAGCAAGUGUUGUGUAUACCAUACUUUUAAACURAGCACAAGGAGCAGCCCUGGAAUUUGCAGACGCGCAAUCCAUAUGUUAAUGCCAAUUCAUUUUCUUUGGAUUAUCUGUACUUUUUCAGUAAUGGCAAUACAUUCAUUCUGCCAUUUGGAGGAGCCUGUGCCACAGAAUAAUGAUCUGAAGAAGGCUAACUUGCUUGCAAAGAGCCUUCAUUUGGGAAACAGUAGUGAUGCAGCAAAGAGGUGCUUUGUCAAGUUCAGCAGAACUAUUAUUGCACCUAGCACAAACUCCAGUACAUGGACAAAGCUGGUUUUCCUCAAAGAAUAA
Molecule: long non-coding RNA, 416 nt
Filed under: Apteryx rowi (Okarito brown kiwi)
Lineage: Eukaryota; Metazoa; Chordata; Aves; Apterygiformes; Apterygidae
Description: lncRNA (ENSARWG00000014343.1)
Source: RNAcentral